RNAcentral lists this long non-coding RNA (853 nucleotides) under Nicotiana benthamiana. RNAcentral describes it as "long non-coding RNA (NBEN_LNC008537)". Lineage: Eukaryota; Viridiplantae; Streptophyta; Magnoliopsida; Solanales; Solanaceae. The record is from RNAcentral.
AGCACAGGACGGCCUAUACAAAAAGAAUAUUGCUAGGAGGGGGGACCAUAAAAAUUUGUCAUUUCUUUAUGUUUCUAGCCCUUGGCUACAGUCUAGGAUAAUAUGGUGGACAAAUUCUUGGCUUUCAAGAUUGUAAUAUAAUAGGACUUGCAGAGACAAGAGAAAACAGCAACUCAGCUCCUAUAAUUAGUUGCUCUAUAAGGCUGUGAAGCAUAAGAAGAUGUGGAGAAAGAAGAAAAAGAAGUAUUUGAUGGAGUACUCGAGGACGAAAAUGGCGAUCACAGCAACUUUUCAGUGAACACUAGGUCACACCCUUCGGUGCAUCUGAUGUGAGUCAGAUACCAAGGUAAACAGGCAAGUCAUAGCGGCAAAGGGAAGGCCACGCCUUUCUUCCAGAUUUUUACUUUUUUCUUCUUGUUUCGUAUUAAUUCUCCAUCAUAUCAUGGAUCAGCCUGGCUUUGGAGUUUGUUGCUUUGCUAUUAUUAGUCAUUUAGCUUUUGAUUAAACUACUGUUCAACCAAUGUCCUUGUUGAGUUUGUUGCUUUGCUAUUAAUGGUGUUGGAGGCAAUGCCUUCUUUUUAAGAAAUACAGUUGUGUUCUUACCUUUCUAGUCCAUUAAGUAUAAUGGUGUUUAUCUUCCCUUUUCUCCCAAUUUUUCUAGCUCCAUAUCACUGCUUUAAUCCAUAUGUAGUGACAAUAUGAAAGAAAUUUUACAUUAUAAAACAUCAUGCUUCGAUUUGCUUAGUGCAAUCACAACGCUAUUCAGAGUCUAACUCUUCCGGAUUAGGGGUAAGGUCUGUAUAUACCCUUCCCAGACCCUACUUAUAAUAGUAUUAUUAUUUCUAUAAGCGAG